Olea europaea var. sylvestris is the source of this 506-nucleotide long non-coding RNA. RefSeq lists it as uncharacterized. The transcript is spliced from 3 exons. The record is from RefSeq and is a predicted model, not a curated record. NCBI's taxonomy places the organism in Eukaryota, Viridiplantae, Streptophyta, Magnoliopsida, Lamiales, Oleaceae.
CACAUAUAUAGGCUACUUCAACAUGAGUGGCGUAAGAAAGCAUUAGGAGUAGUUGAAGCUGGUCAGAGAUGCAAAGAGCUUCUCGAUGAGGGGUAUUACGUUUGAAUGGGUUUUUGGGAGUUGCUGAAGGGAAGCUUCAAGGAAUGACUUUUCCAAAGAUGAUCACUACCAUUCUAGAGAAAAAUUGCUAGGACUUUUACUUUUGUCUUCAAUAUGCUAGGGAUGAUGGGAUUAUAUGUAAACAAAUACAACAAGAUGGUUGAACAUGCAACUUUGGUAAUGAAUGAGUCGAUUGAAGUUGGGAACUAUUUGAAAGCAGUUGAAUUGAUGAAGUUUGGAUUUGAAAAGAUGCAAGUGUUCUUGUCAAACCAAAGCUCAAUGUACUGCUCAAUUUGGUUGGCUUGCACUACUAAAUCGUAUAACUUGAUGUUAUUAUUCUUGCUUGUUGAUGGAAAGUAUAAAAUGUUGUUUUACUGUUUGUUGUUUUAGAUUUACUAGUUAAAGUU